UGUCGAGAAUUUUUCUCAAUGGGGGAAACCCUGAAGGAGCGACGCCGCGUGGGGGAUGAAUGGCUUCGGCCCGUAAACCCCUGUCAUUUGCGAACAAUCCCGUUUGUUUAAUAAACAAACGGUUGCUAGUAGCGAAAGAGGAAGGGACGGCUAACUCUGUGCCAGCAGCCGCGGUAAUACAGAGGUCCCAAGCGUUGUUCGUAUUCACUGGGCGUAAAGGGUGCGUAGGUGGCCAGGUAAGUUUGAUGUGAAAUCUCCGAGCUUAACUCGGAAAGUGCAUUGAAUACUAUCUGGCUCGAGGGUUGGAGGGGAGACUGGAAUUCUCGGUGUAGCAGUGAAAUGCGUAGAUAUCGAGAGGAACACCAGUGGCGAAGGCGAGUCUCUGGACAACACCUGACACUGAGGCACGAAAGCUAGGGGAGCAAACAGGAUUAGAUUCCCUGGUAGUCCUAGCUGUAAACGGUGCACAUUUGCUGUAAGAGGAAUCGACCCCUUUUGUGGCGAAGCUAACGCGUUAAAUGUGCCGCCUGGGGAGUACGGUCGCAAGAUUAAAACUCAAAGAAAUUGACGGGGGCCUGCACAAGCGGUGGAGUAUGUGGCUUAAUUCGAUCCAACGCGAAGAACCUUACCUGGCCUUGACAUGUACGUAGUAGAAGGAUGAAAGUCUGACGAGUGUAGCAAUACACAGCGUACACAGGUGCUGCAUGGCUGUCGUCAGCUCGUGUCGUGAGAUGUUGGGUUAAGUCCCGCAACGAGCGCAACCCCUGUGUCCAGUUGCCACCCAGACGAGAGUUUGGAGCACUCUGGACAGACUGCCUCGCUUAAACGAGGAGGAAGGUGGGGAUGACGUCAAGUCAGUAUGGCCCUUACGGCCAGGGCUGCACACGUACUACAAUGCCCGGCACAGAGGGAAGCAAGACCGCAAGGUGGAGCAAAUCCCAGAAAACCGGGCCCAGUUCAGAUUGUCGGCUGCAACUCGCCGACAUGAAGCUGGAAUCGCUAGUAAUGGCGCAUCAGCUACGGCGCCGUGAAUACGUUCCCAGGCCUUGUACACACCGCCCGUCACAUCAUGAAAGCCGUUUGUACCCGAAGUCGCCGUGUUAACCGCAAGGAGACAGGCGCCGAAGGUAUGGAUGGUGAUUGGGAUGAAGUCGGAACAAGGUAGCCGUAGGGGACCUGCGGCUG
RNAcentral lists this ribosomal RNA (1185 nucleotides) under metagenome. RNAcentral's name for it is "bacterial SSU rRNA". It matches the Rfam family "Bacterial small subunit ribosomal RNA", at positions 353 to 1520 of the family's 1533-position model. The record is from RNAcentral.